GGGCAUCAGCGUCAUAGUGGAAACACUUUUCUUUCACUGCCGCCUUCUUUCGAACAUCCUUCUUUGGCUUACUCUCCUUCUUCUGCUUCUUCAAAGGUUCACUCUUCUUCUUCCAACCAGACUUUCUCUUGGAUGAAAAAGAUCACUCCAUAGUGAGAACAGUGCCUCUUGAACUUUUCAAGAUUUUCUUAGCAGUGAUCAAUAUAUUGACCAGUUCGGGUAUGGUGA
This 228-nucleotide long non-coding RNA is filed under the name Elaeis guineensis (African oil palm). RNAcentral describes it as "long non-coding RNA (EGUI_LNC063043)". Lineage: Eukaryota; Viridiplantae; Streptophyta; Magnoliopsida; Arecales; Arecaceae. The record is from RNAcentral.